Long non-coding RNA from Sorghum bicolor (sorghum), 1250 nucleotides. RefSeq lists it as uncharacterized. NCBI's taxonomy places the organism in Eukaryota, Viridiplantae, Streptophyta, Magnoliopsida, Poales, Poaceae. The record is from RefSeq and is a predicted model, not a curated record. The transcript has 2 exons.
GGUACUCGAGUGCAUAUCAUCGGACCCGACCUAACCCACAAGGGUCGUAUCCCCCACGCCCAUCUCCUCAUUCUAUCUCGUAUUUUUUUUUCUGGUCUAAUUUCGAGAUCGUGGGAGAAGACGAGGAGACAUCGGUUUCACUUAGCUCGCCGCCCCCUCCGCCGCACGACCCAGCUUCCCCGCCGCCGAGGGCUAGAGCCCAGCUUCCCCUACCCUGGUGGAUCUAGCGCCUCGUUCCAGUUCUCCAACCGUUGCCGGCUCAGCUAGGGCAGCGGCGACGGCGCCCCCCGGCUGUGGCGCCCUCCACGGCGCCCGGUGGCAGCAGCCCCUGGACGCAGCGUCCCUUCGACUCCGCCAAUGGAAGAGAUUGGGACUCGUCUUCCCCAUGCCCCUCCGAUGGUGGCCACGGCAGCAAGGUCCCUUCCCUUCAUCCGGCCGCGGCAUGGCCAUCACACGGGCGGUGCUCCUCGACGACAAUAGUGACCGCGACCCAUCUCCCCUUCACCAACAGUAGCGGCGCCCAUCUCUACUUCACCGGCGUGCUCGUGCCGUGAUGGGUCCCUGGUGGCGGCGUCCUCUGGCCCGUUCCCCUGCAGCAGCGGCACGGCACCCACCAGGUUGCGUUCUCUAGUGGAUCCAGGCACUGAUAAGUCCGAUCUAUUCGAGACCCAGCGCGGCGAGUCCGCCAAGCUCCGCGCCAGCCGCACGCUCACCUAGUGCGGCGCCAUCGGCCACACGUAUGGGAUCUGGCUCGGCAUCAUCGGCCUGCUCUUUGCGAGGGUCGAGAGUGGCGUGGCCAGGCUCCGUGGCGUCGAAGACCGGAAGAACGCCGUCGCCGCCGGGCUAGGGGCUGGCUUGCUCUAUUGGGCCGGUCCGCGGUCUGUGGUUAUUGGUUGCGUCAUCGAAGGACUCAUGGCCAGAGCAGCCAUCGCCAGGAAUCAAGUUCUCAAGAGAUACGUGUGUGAUCUGGCUUUACAAACCAAAACCAUAACGCUACUUAGCAGGUAUUACCGUAUUACUAGAUUUAAAUCUGACGAUUUCAGGCUACUAGUAAUAAUUAGGUUAGCUCUACGCUUAUGGCAUCUGUACAAAUUUCAAAGCUUCAUUUUUGUUGAUUGACUAAUGACUACAUUACUAGUGCAAUCUCUGUCCUGAAUUAGCUAAUGGUGCUGUUUAUUUAUGGAUAUGUAUCCAAAAUCGAAUUGAGAAUGGUUGAAUUAAUGGCACUUUGAUGCUUCUAUAUAUGACUA